RNAcentral lists this ribosomal RNA (930 nucleotides) under uncultured bacterium. RNAcentral's name for it is "bacterial SSU rRNA". It matches the Rfam family "Bacterial small subunit ribosomal RNA", at positions 8 to 935 of the family's 1533-position model. The record is from RNAcentral.
AGAGUUUGAUCCUGGCUCAGAUUGAACGCUGGCGGCGGGCCUAACACAUGCAAGUCGAGCGGAUGAGUGGAGCUUGCUCCAUGAUUCAGCGGCGGACGGGUGAGUAAUGCCUAGGAAUCUGCCUGGUAGUGGGGGACAACGUUUCGAAAGGAACGCUAAUACCGCAUACGUCCUACGGGAGAAAGCAGGGGACCUUCGGGCCUUGCGCUAUCAGAUGAGCCUAGGUCGGAUUAGCUAGUUGGUGAGGUAAAGGCUCACCAAGGCGACGAUCCGUAACUGGUCUGAGAGGAUGAUCAGUCACACUGGAACUGAGACACGGUCCAGACUCCUACGGGAGGCAGCAGUGGGGAAUAUUGGACAAUGGGCGAAAGCCUGAUCCAGCCAUGCCGCGUGUGUGAAGAAGGUCUUCGGAUUGUAAAGCACUUUAAGUUGGGAGGAAGGGCAGUAAGUUAAUACCUUGCUGUUUUGACGUUACCGACAGAAUAAGCACCGGCUAACUUCGUGCCAGCAGCCGCGGUAAUACGAAGGGUGCAAGCGUUAAUCGGAAUUACUGGGCGUAAAGCGCGCGUAGGUGGUUCGUUAAGUUGGAUGUGAAAGCCCCGGGCUCAACCUGGGAACUGCAUCCAAAACUGGCGAGCUAGAGUAUGGCAGAGGGUGGUGGAAUUUCCUGUGUAGCGGUGAAAUGCGUAGAUAUAGGAAGGAACACCAGUGGCGAAAGCGACCACCUGGGCUAAUACUGACACUGAGGUGCGAAAGCGUGGGGAGCAAACAGGAUUAGAUACCCUGUAGUCCACGCCGUAAACGAUGUCGACUAGCCGUUGGGAUCCUUGAGAUCUUAGUGGCGCAGCUAACGCAUUAAGUCGACCGCCUGGGAGUACGGCCGCAAGGUUAAAACUCAAAUGAAGUGACGGGGGCCCGCACAAGCGGUGG